CCAAUAGCGUAUAUUAAAGUUGUUGCAGUUAAAAAGCUCGUAGUUGAAUUUCGGGGUCAGUAGGUUGGUCGUGCCACUGGUAUGUACUGGCCUUACUGGUCCCUCCUUCUUGUAGAACCGUGAUGCCAUUAAUUAGGUGUUGCGGGGAAACAGGACUGUUACUUUGAAAAAAUUAGAGUGCUUAAAGCAGGCUCGCGCUUGAAUACAUUAGCAUGGAAUAACGGAAUAGGACGAUCGAACCUAUUUUGUUGGUUUCUAGGAUCGACGUAAUGAUUAAUAGGGAUAGUUGGGGGCAUUAGUAUUCAAUUGUCAGAGGUGAAAUUCUUGGAUUUAUUGAAGACUAACUACUGCGAAAGCAUUUGCCAAGGAUGUUUUCAUUAAUCAAGAACGAAAGUUAGGGGAUCGAAGACGAUCAGAUACCGUCGUAGUCUUAACCAUAAACUAUGCCGACUAGGGAUCGGAUGAAGUUAAUUUUUUAAUGACUCAUUCGGCGCCUUACG
This 500-nucleotide ribosomal RNA is filed under the name uncultured Glomeromycotina. RNAcentral's name for it is "partial small subunit ribosomal RNA". It matches the Rfam family "Eukaryotic small subunit ribosomal RNA", at positions 591 to 1092 of the family's 1831-position model. The record is from RNAcentral. Lineage: Eukaryota; Fungi; Glomeromycota.